CAUGAGAAAUUAAAUGGUGUUAGUGUAAUGUGUAUACAUAUUGACAAUGUUUUACAGGCUUAAGAUCUGUAGCAUAUUAAAAUGUCAUCAAAGGUUGGGUGUCUGUGCUCCCAUUCUUAGCAAAUUUAGUGUGAACAAGUUGUGGAAUUACUGAAACUAGAGCAUAUUAGUGCACAUAGAGAUCACUGUUUCAGGGAA
Molecule: long non-coding RNA, 198 nt
Organism: Thalassophryne amazonica
Lineage: Eukaryota; Metazoa; Chordata; Actinopteri; Batrachoidiformes; Batrachoididae
Exons: 3
Source: RefSeq, a predicted model, not a curated record